AGUCUAUCUCCAUUGUGGCUUUUGAGUAUUCUCAACCGUCAUCCCUUAAUUCAUUGGACUGGCAGGAGACGGUCAUCAUUCCAGAUAGCCCUUCCAGAAAACACCAGAGGCUGGAUGCAAAGGCUAAGCAACUUGGGACAGUGAUCUGGCAUUAAUUUUACUGCUGCUGCAUCUAAAUCCACCGACAGCGCAGGGUCGGAGGAGACUGGGAAAAGUGGCGGCCUCCCAAGCAGAAAAAAAUCUUGUUUUCAAGAAGAGUGAAACAAGCAUCUAGGAACAUCUAGAUGCAUUCAGGACCAGCACUCAGCCCUGACCAGCACUCAGACUGAAGAAGAGUGAGCUCCACCAAAUCCUUGACCAGAACGCCAUACCAUGCAGGUCCACCUCGUCCCUUGGUGCCUUCAAUGAACUCUUCAGGGCACAUUUUGUCUUUGGUACUUAGUACAAGCCGAUGCGGCACAACAUGUAUGUAUUUACCCAGAUUACAGUGUACAUUGAUGUUCCUCAUGUAGCUGAUAUUAGGGCAAGAGUGCACUGCCAUGUCAUACAAACCUAAUGUUGUUUUAAUGUGACUUUUGAAUCAAUGAGAUGUGUACAU
Molecule: long non-coding RNA, 598 nt
Organism: Sardina pilchardus (European sardine)
Lineage: Eukaryota; Metazoa; Chordata; Actinopteri; Clupeiformes; Clupeidae
Exons: 3
Source: RefSeq, a predicted model, not a curated record